GCUUUACACUGAGACCAGGUCACAGCAGAGAGAUAUCUCAUCAGACAUGCUGAUGGACUGUGGGAGAGGAGCUUUACACUGAGACCAGGUCACAGCAGAGAGAUAUCUCAUCAGACAUGCUGAUGGACUGUGGGAGAGGAGCUUUACACUGAGACCAGGUCACAGCAGAGAGAUAUCUCAUCAGACAUGCUGAUGGACUGUGGGAGAGGAGCUUUACACUGAGACCAGGUCACAGCAGAGAGAUAUCUCAUCAGACAUGCUGAUGGACUGUGGGAGAGGAGCUUUACACUGAGACCAGGUCACAGCAGAGAGAUAUCUCAUCAGACAUGCUGAUGGACUGUGGGAGAGGAGCUUUACAC
Oncorhynchus keta (chum salmon) is the source of this 359-nucleotide long non-coding RNA. RefSeq lists it as uncharacterized. The transcript is spliced from 3 exons. The record is from RefSeq and is a predicted model, not a curated record. NCBI's taxonomy places the organism in Eukaryota, Metazoa, Chordata, Actinopteri, Salmoniformes, Salmonidae.